Molecule: long non-coding RNA, 1023 nt
Filed under: Marmota monax (woodchuck)
Lineage: Eukaryota; Metazoa; Chordata; Mammalia; Rodentia; Sciuridae
Source: RNAcentral
AGAAAAAGGUUUUGUGGGACUUCAAGCUACAUUUUGGAGACUUUCUUUAGAACAUACAUACAAUAUUAUAAAGGCAAAUCUAGGUGUAAGAGUCAAACUUAUUUAGAAUGAAAUAACACAACAAAACCAAAUCUAAAAAAUUGAGGUUAACUUAAAACACAAAAAUCAAACAUUGCUAUAGCUUCUCUCAGAAACUUUGAAGGUGUCUCAAACAAAUGAGGUGACAGGAAAUGUUUUAUUACAGGCAUGGUAAAUCCCACUCUGUGAACAGUUUACGAGCACUUGCUAUAUGACAAACAUCAAAUCAGGCACUUUGUAUAUUUUAUCUGUUACAUUGUAUUUCACAUUUUAAUCCUGUUUAUAAAUUAGGAAGGUGAUGCUCAGAAAGAUUAAGAAACUUGUCUGAGAUCAUAGAGCUAAUAACUGAGAACAAAAAUCGAUACAUUUAAAUCUGAUUUAUUCUAAAUCACUCUUCUUGCACAGUAUUUAAAAUUUAAUCAACACACCACUGAAAAUAGCAUUUAAUGUCAUGUCACUUGCACUUAAACAUGAAGAGGCAGAUAUACUUCCUCCCUUCCUCAUUCAUCCUUUCAACUAAUUUUAUAUAUAAAUUAAAUCUUGACUAUGGAUUACUGCUUUAAUAGCAAAUUCUUUUAUGAACACUUGUUGUGUGCCUAGAUUCUGAGAACAUCUUUGUUUUGUAAUAGGUGCUGCAUAAGAAUUGAACAGGACAUGGUAUUUUUUUUAAAUCACAGUAGUACUAUUAAUGAGGUACUUACAUUCCACUUAAUGAUUGCUGAAAACUGAGCACUCAACAUUUCUUUAGAUUCAUUUUGGAAUUUUGGGUUUUUUUUCCCCCAAGCAAAGAAUCUGCAGAAAUAUAGCCUGUAGGCUUAGGUUUAUAAUUCAAUUGAGACCUGGCUUUUGAGUCUUCUAGAAACACAGAGCACCAGAAUCUUAACUGUGCUUUGCUCAGUGUCUGCUCAGAUUACUUAUUUUUGCUAAUUCCUUGCUAGCUUGGAG